UUGGCUUGCAGAAUCCUAAUCUCUUGACCCUCAGCAAUUCAGUCACAUGGCAAUUGGGGAAGAAGACUUGGUUUGAAAAAAUAGCCUGAAGGCGCGCGCCAACCAGAGACACGGUUCCAGCGGCGAUGGCCACCAAAACAGGAAUUCUAUACAUCGACUAGUUCAUCUACACCUCCUUAGUCCGAAUAUCUCAUUAAUUCUACGAAAUCCUUAUUCCAGAUCCACAACUGAAACGGCAUCUUCCAAGAAUCCUAAGACUGAAAUCCUAAAUCAAAUGCCUCUCUCCGAGGAUCAGAACCCAAGGGAUUGGGGCUCUAAACUCCCUAGUUCUCAUCUAUGUCAUGGCUACAAAGGAUUGAAAGAAAGCGAGUUUCGAAACCUUACCUUAUCGGAUGCGACGAUGGUGAUGACUAUGUUGGCGCCGACGAGGGCUCUAGUUCCAGGCAGUGACGAUGUUUCCUUCUUCUUUAUGAAUGCGAAGCAAUCUUCUUCUUCUCCAAUCUCCAAUCUGUGGGAAUAACUUCUUCUUGAGAUGCACCUGCGAUUUAUUGUAUCAGAGAGGAUGAUGAAGGUUGAAGCUCAACUGGUUAGAGCUUCUGAUGUUGAAGCUCUAACAGUUACGGUAAUGGAGAGCGUAUAGUGAGGAAUUGGGAGGGAGCUGUGAGAAUCACGUGUGAUUGAGAGUGAUGAAGAUGAGAGCAAAAAAAAUGGAGAAUCCCCCAAAUGAUUGGGAACUGGUUGGUUUUAUAGAAGUCAGGGUUGGUUGUAACCGAAUGGGGCAGUUUAGGUUGUUGUUUUGGAAGUUAUCUCAUCGGAGAAGGAAGGUCUGGUAUCGUCGACUCAGUUGUGCCGGGAGGUGUAGAGGGAGUUGUUCUGGAUUUUGAAGGUUGUAGAGAUUCUGUUGCGCUUUCUCCUUUGGAGUUAGCUUCUUCUAGAAGCUCUUCCGGGGCCUUUUCAUGUUGACGGUUUGGUUCCUAACACACCCAACUCAUGUUGAGUUCAAAACCUUAAUCCUCGGUCUCUUUACGAACUUCGUAUAUAAUCCCAGCUACUUCAAUAGCUCCUUGCCGGCAUGUCAAAUUUGUAAACUGCUCACAAAUCUACACUGCUAAGUCAUAUUCCCCUUCUUUAGUACAAAAUGAUAAAUCAUCUAGCGUCUAAAUAUUGACGAAAAGGUUGGCUUUCCUUGAAACCAGUGAAGAGAACAACAAGAUAAGCAAUAAGGACAAGCUUUUACCCUUGCCCAAAGUUCGAUAGGAGAUGUAAAACAAUGGAUAGCCUUUUGUGCUCAACUAUUUCAGGAAACAUAUCUAUGAAAACCUUCAGUAAUUUCUCCACAUGAUUUGUCUUAGACAACUAGCAAGGAACAAUUGCAAAUAUAAGAUCCUCAAAAACAUGCUUUGAAUGAAUGUCAAUAUGUGCAAUGGCUGAUACCCCAAUAACCAGAAGAAUAUCAAGUAUAUGCUCGAAAAUGUUUCAUGGCAAGACUUUAAUAACAACAGAAAGCAAAGAGAAUAUAUGGUUGCGGGUGACUAAAACAUUGGUAGUCUGGGCACACUCUAUCGGUAGCUUAAUGUUAAUCUCGUCCAUCAGUUUUUUCAUUUAGCACAGUCAUAAUUUUAGUUUUGAUUAUGGUGGAUCUCUAGGUAAUCUAGCUGGCAUUACCUGGUUAGUGCAAUUUAAUUGGUGAAUGGUCGGUUAGUUGCUAUGUCAGUUGGAAAUGAAAAUUGCGGUGUAAAUGUUAUGUCGUUGCAGCUUAUCUUUUUGCUCAGUGUUACUGACUUGGCCCUGCAGGGUAUUCAUCAUACCUUGACGUGGCUAUAUCCCAUUUGGGAUUGGUUUGAUGUGAUGCAUCAUGGUUCCCCAGGCGUAUAGGGUGGUGCAUCACCUAUUGAAAUAAUUUGGUCAAUUUGUUUUCCUGCAGGUGUUCAAAUGCACGACGACUAAGUGCCUGAUGAUUGCUUGGCUUGAAUGGUUAGCUUGCAAUGAAAUACAACUUAGGUCAUCAUGCUUUUGUGAGUAAACUAUGUCGAUGUCCACCGCUAAUGGUUUGGCUUGUUCUCUUUUACCGCAUGUGAUCAUGUGAAUGAUGACUGCAAUAGGUGGAUCGUUGUUUCUACAACUUGGCUUAUGUUUAUGCUGGUUAUAUGAAAGGCUGCAGGUCUGUAUAGGUUGCAGCAUUUCACCAAUACCUUUUCAACGAAGGAACGCCACAAGGGUCAGGAUUGCUUACAUACUAAGUGGUUGGAAGUGUGUUAAGCUGUCGUGAUUAUUAUGCUUGAGACGAAUCAUGGGUGGCGAGCAGGCCAUGUUGGCGAGUCAUCUCUCUUCAUUUUCAUAUGUAGAUGUCGGCGAAGCUUAGGGAAUAUCGUUUCAAGCUCUUUCUAUUGAUAACAUUUUUGUUAACAAGGAUGGUGAAUCCAUAUCAUCCUUAAAAGAUGCUUAGUUUAUGGUGGAGAAUGGUCAAUCCGCUAGCUGGGGACAAAUUGUUGAGCUUGCUGAGAACAAGAACAAAGCUAGUUUGGUUUUUUCAACCAGUACAAGCCGAAGAGAUUUGAAGUGAAUUCAAGAAGUGUUUUACAUUGCUGGCUUUAUUCAUUCUAAGGAUCAGUCUGUUGCCGCAAUCUUAGAAGACGAUGAAGAGCAACAAGUGCCAGACUUUGUGACACGUGGAUCGAUCUGCCAGAAUUGGAUUGUUGUUGAUGUUCCUUAUGUUAUUCACUUGUCGAAGUAAUAUGUUUGUUUUUUGUUAUUUUCAAAAUCCUUUCACUAUUCCCAAGGUGAAAGUGAAUCUAUGUGGGCUUUGUUUCAAAUUUCAUUAUCAUUAAUAAAAUGUUAUUUCGUUUA
This is a long non-coding RNA of Lathyrus oleraceus (garden pea), 2847 nucleotides long. RefSeq lists it as uncharacterized. NCBI's taxonomy places the organism in Eukaryota, Viridiplantae, Streptophyta, Magnoliopsida, Fabales, Fabaceae. The record is from RefSeq and is a predicted model, not a curated record. The transcript has 3 exons.